This 253-nucleotide ribosomal RNA is filed under the name uncultured bacterium. Its description in RNAcentral is "partial 16S ribosomal RNA". It matches the Rfam family "Bacterial small subunit ribosomal RNA", at positions 524 to 776 of the family's 1533-position model. The record is from RNAcentral.
UACGAAGGGGGCUAGCGUUGUUCGGAAUUACUGGGCGUAAAGCGCACGUAGGCGGACAUUUAAGUCAGGGGUGAAAUCCCGGGGCUCAACCCCGGAACUGCCUUUGAUACUGGAUGUCUUGAGUGUGGAAGAGGUAAGUGGAAUUGCGAGUGUAGAGGUGAAAUUCGUAGAUAUUCGCAGGAACACCAGUGGCGAAGGCGGCUUACUGGUCCAUUACUGACGCUGAGGUGCGAAAGCGUGGGGGGCGAUCCGG